ACGUACACUCCUGCGGGAGGCAGCAGUGGGGAAUAUUGCACAAUGGGCGCAAGCCUGAUGCAGCCAUGCCGCGUGUAUGAAGAAGGCCUUCGGGUUGUAAAGUACUUUCAGCGGGGAGGAAGGCAAUACGGUUAAUAACCGUGUUGAUUGACGUUACCCGCAGAAGAAGCACCGGCUAACUCCGUGCCAGCAGCCGCGGUAAUACGGAGGGUGCAAGCGUUAAUCGGAAUUACUGGGCGUAAAGCGCACGCAGGCGGUCUGUCAAGUCGGAUGUGAAAUCCCCGGGCUCAACCUGGGAACUGCAUUCGAAACUGGCAGGCUUGAGUCUUGUAGAGGGGGGUAGAAUUCCAGGUGUAGCGGUGAAAUGCGUAGAGAUCUGGAGGAAUACCGGUGGCGAAGGCGGCCCCCUGGACAAAGACUGACGCUCAGGUGCGAAAGCGUGGGGAGCAAACAGGAUUAGAAACCCGGGUAGUCCC
Molecule: ribosomal RNA, 476 nt
Filed under: uncultured organism
Description: partial 16S ribosomal RNA
Rfam family: Bacterial small subunit ribosomal RNA
Source: RNAcentral